RNAcentral lists this long non-coding RNA (308 nucleotides) under Salmo salar (Atlantic salmon). RNAcentral's name for it is "lncRNA (ENSSSAG00000096668.1)". Lineage: Eukaryota; Metazoa; Chordata; Actinopteri; Salmoniformes; Salmonidae. The record is from RNAcentral.
AGGUACCAGACAGUAGCUAACGGUAACAGGUACCAGACAGUAGCUAACGGUAACAGGUACCAGACAGUAGCAGGUACCAGACAGUAGCUUACAGUAACAGGUACCAGACAGUAGCUAACAGUAACAGGUACCAGACAGUAGCAGGUACCAGACAGUAGCUUACAGUAGCAGGUACCAGACAGUAGCUAACAGUAACAGGUACCAGACAGUAGCUAACGGUAACAGGUACCAGACAGUAGCUAACGGUAACAGGUACCAGACAGUAGCUAACGGUAACAGGUACCAGACAGUAGCUAACGGUAACAGGU